Molecule: long non-coding RNA, 922 nt
Filed under: Helianthus annuus (common sunflower)
Lineage: Eukaryota; Viridiplantae; Streptophyta; Magnoliopsida; Asterales; Asteraceae
Description: hypothetical non coding rna
Source: RNAcentral
GUGUGUGUGUGUGGAAUGUUUAGAAGAACACAAGGGGAGUCAAACCCUAGUUAUUAAAGAUCUUCAAAUUGAAGGGUGAAUCGAAGGUCAAACCUAUAAAUGAACAUGAAUUAAUGAUCACCUACACAAGGGGAUCAUGAGGGAUCAUGUCAAGAUGGAUGGAAGCAUGGAAGGCUAAAGGGUCAAAAGGAAGCAAGGAAACGGAUACGAAUACAAACGUUUAAGAAACAGGAUAUGAGCAGCUCAUAAUAGUAUGAAGAAAGUUGCACCAGCACUUGCAGCCAAACAUGAUAUUGCAGUGGCUGGAACAAAUAUCAGGGAGCCUGAGAGGAAGUAUAUCAUCAGGAGCCAAUUUCUAGCCUUGGUUGCUGUUAGAACCCCCCCAUCUACCUAAGCGAAUCAAGAAAGAGAGUACUUCAGAUGGGUCGUGAAGCGAGUGGAAAGCCAUUGUCUUGGUGGGUUUGGAAGAAACAACAAUCGGGUAUCCUUCGCCCCUUUCCCUUAAAACCUGCACAUGUGACAUGACUAGUUAGUUAUUUGAAACCUACAUAAUAAUAUAUCGGUUUAUUAUAAUGAAGAUGUUACCCUAAAAGCAUCCUCAUCGGUUGUAUCAUCUCCAAUAUAUAUUGGUAGGAGGGUUUUGGAGUUAUCAAAGCCUAAGUUAUUGAUUAAAUACUCAAGGGCGUGACCUUUGUUCCACUCGAUGGAAGGUCGAAUUUCCAACACCUUUUUGCCACUCGUCAAGUGAAAUUCUGGAUAAUUUACUAACAUCGACUUGACUUCCUGUUCUAGUCUCUCAUAAUCCUCGUCGUCUUUAACGUGUCGAUAAUGAACAGAAAGGCAGAACAUGUUAUCCUCAAUCACCACUCCUCGUACCUGAUCAGACAUGAAGGCACGAUCAGGAUCACAGACGAUGGGUGAC